CCUACGGGAGGCAGCAGUGAGGAAUAUUGGUCAAUGGACGAGAGUCUGAACCAGCCAAGUAGCGUGAAGGAUGACUGCCCUAUGGGUUGUAAACUUCUUUUAUAUGGGAAUAAAAUGUUCCACGUGUGGGUUUUUGUAUGUACCAUAUGAAUAAGGAUCGGCUAACUCCGUGCCAGCAGCCGCGGUAAUACGGAGGAUCCGAGCGUUAUCCGGAUUUAUUGGGUUUAAAGGGAGCGUAGGUGGAUUGUUAAGUCAGUUGUGAAAGUUUGCGGCUCAACCGUAAAAUUGCAGUUGAAACUGGCAGUCUUGAGUACAGUAGAGGUAGGCGGAAUGCGUGGUGUAGCGGUGAAAUGCUUAGAUAUCACGAAGAACUCCGAUUGCGAAGGCAGCUCACUGGACUGCAACUGACACUGAGGCUCGAAAGUGUGGGUAUCAAACAGGAUUAGAUACCCCAGUAGUC
RNAcentral lists this ribosomal RNA (460 nucleotides) under uncultured bacterium. Its description in RNAcentral is "partial 16S ribosomal RNA". It matches the Rfam family "Bacterial small subunit ribosomal RNA", at positions 338 to 795 of the family's 1533-position model. The record is from RNAcentral.